UUUCUUCAAUGAAAUACAUUUGUUACGCUUGACUUCUAA
Arabidopsis thaliana (thale cress) is the source of this 39-nucleotide non-coding RNA. NCBI's taxonomy places the organism in Eukaryota, Viridiplantae, Streptophyta, Magnoliopsida, Brassicales, Brassicaceae. The record is from Rfam.